Molecule: ribosomal RNA, 471 nt
Filed under: fungal sp. 58A TTMM-2011
Lineage: Eukaryota; Fungi
Description: eukaryotic LSU rRNA
Rfam family: 5.8S ribosomal RNA (bases 91-244)
Source: RNAcentral
UGGUUUCCCACUGUGGGCUCUGCCUGCAUGUGCCUGCCAGAGGACCAAACUCUGAAUGUUAGUGAUGUCUGAGUACUAUAUAAUAGUUAAAACUUUCAACAACGGAUCUCUUGGUUCUGGCAUCGAUGAAGAACGCAGCGAAAUGCGAUAAGUAAUGUGAAUUGCAGAAUUCAGUGAAUCAUCGAAUCUUUGAACGCACAUUGCACCCGGUGGUAUUCCGCCGGGUAUGCUUGUUCGAGCGUCAUUAUAACCACUCAAGCCUGUCUUGGUGUUGGGGAUUGCGAAUUUUGCAGCCCUAGAGUCCAGUAGCGUCACCUGCGGGUUCUAAGCGUAGUAAUUUCUCCUCGCUACAGAGCCUGCUGGUGGAUAGUGUAAAUCCAGUUAAUUCUGCGUGUCCUGCUAUUAAACCCCCAAUUUUAAAGGUUGACCUCGGAUCAAGUAGGGAUACCCGCUGAACUUAAGCAUAUCAAU